GUAAUGCUUGGGAAUCUGGCUUAUGGAGGGGGAUAACUACGGGAAACUGUAGCUAAUACCGCGUAAUAUCGAGAGAUUAAAGGGUGGGACCGCAAGGCCACAUGCCAUGAGAUGAGCCCAAGUGGGAUUAGGUAGUUGGUGGGGUAAAGGCCUACCAAGCCGACGAUCUCUAGCUGGUCUGAGAGGGUGAUCGGCCACACUGGGACUGAGACACGGCCCAGACUCC
Molecule: ribosomal RNA, 226 nt
Filed under: uncultured Pasteurellaceae bacterium
Lineage: Bacteria; Pseudomonadati; Pseudomonadota; Gammaproteobacteria; Pasteurellales; Pasteurellaceae
Description: partial 16S ribosomal RNA
Rfam family: Bacterial small subunit ribosomal RNA
Source: RNAcentral